GUCUACUGCCAUGCUACCCUGAACAAGCCCCAUGUCCGAUCUCGGAAGCUAAGCAGGGUCGGGCCUGGUUAGUACUUGGAUGAGAGACCACCUAGGAAGACCAGGUGCUGUAGGCA
This 116-nucleotide ribosomal RNA is filed under the name Pteropus alecto (black flying fox). Lineage: Eukaryota; Metazoa; Chordata; Mammalia; Chiroptera; Pteropodidae. The record is from RNAcentral.